Molecule: ribosomal RNA, 327 nt
Filed under: uncultured bacterium
Lineage: Bacteria
Description: bacterial SSU rRNA
Rfam family: Bacterial small subunit ribosomal RNA
Source: RNAcentral
UGUGUAGGCGGUCUUGUAAGUCAGCAGUGAAAGCUCCGGGCUAAACUCGGAAACGGUUGCUGAUACUACCGGACUUGAGGGCAGGAGAGGAGGUUGGAACUUUCGGUGUAGCGGUAGAAUGCGUAGAUAUCGAAAGGAACGCCGAUAGCGAAGGCAAGCCUCUGGAAUGUUCCUGACGCUGAAACACGAAAGCUGGGGGAGCAAACAGGAUUAGAUACCCUGGUAGUCCCAGCCGUAAACGAUGUUCACUAGGUGUUGCUCGCAAGGGCAGUACCGGAGCUAACGCGUUAAGUGAACCGCCUGGGGACUACGGCCGCGAAGGUUGAA